UUAAUUAUGAUAAAUAAUAUUUAUAUUAGCAAUAUAUAUGUUUUAAAAUAAACUAAAUUAAAAUAUUAAUAAUAAAA
Molecule: transfer RNA, 77 nt
Filed under: Orseolia oryzae (Asian rice gall midge)
Lineage: Eukaryota; Metazoa; Arthropoda; Insecta; Diptera; Cecidomyiidae
Description: tRNA-Cys
Source: RNAcentral